AAAACCAAGGCUAAGAGAAGUUAAAUAGCUUGCCUGUGGAUACACAGCAAGGAAACACAACACCUAGACUAAAAUCUAGGCCUGUCUGACCUCAAAACUUUCUUUCUUUGUGCCCAAGACCCUGGAAUUCAGAUGUCCUUGUUGUCAAAGACUGUACCAUUCAUGCACAUAUUGGGUUCUUCAGAAUGGCUUUCCAUGUUCACCUCUUCAACAUCAAGAACCUUUAUUGGGGUCUGUCAUUUGUUUGGCUUAUACAAGGAUGGAUCUCUGUCUACUGAUUACCUGACAGUGCUGAUUUAUGACCUGCUCACUGCAUCUUCGAUCUGCCACAUCAACCCAUCGUGUGGAUGAUGAAACAAAAGCUUAGAAAAGUUAAUUUGCCAAAGGGCUCAAAGCUAAAUGGUGGAUACAAGACUGAGACCCAGAUCUCUCUGGUUGCAAAGGCUUUGUUCUUUCCACUGUACAAUACUUUCUUCCCAAAGGAAUAUAUUUGUCACCUCAAAUGUGGUUCAGCUUCGUAAGGCUUGAGAGUGCACAUUUUCCUUUGUCAAAGAUGAAGAACCAAUUUUGAUACUUCAGAGAACAGUAUCAAAGAAAAUUGCACCCAGAAGUCCAUUCCGAGCAAUAUUUUCCCCACACGCUGCCAACUGAUGCUGAGACAGCUGCACAGGCUUUCCUGAGAAAUGUUAUCAUCAAGGCUGCAUUAUAAUGCAAAAUACACCCGGACACCAAGAUGUAAUUCCACCUUUGAACAUUUACAACGUUGGCUUACUAGUC
Gorilla gorilla gorilla (western lowland gorilla) is the source of this 777-nucleotide long non-coding RNA. RefSeq lists it as uncharacterized. NCBI's taxonomy places the organism in Eukaryota, Metazoa, Chordata, Mammalia, Primates, Hominidae. The transcript is spliced from 2 exons. The record is from RefSeq and is a predicted model, not a curated record.